UACGUAGGGGGCAAGCGUUGUCCGGAAUUAUUGGGCGUAAAGAGCGCGUAGGCGGUCCGGUAAGUCGGCUGUGAAAGUCAAGGGCUCAACCCUUGAAAGCCGGCCGAUACUGUCGGACUAGAGUCCGGAAGAGGCGAGUGGAAUUCCCGGUGUAGCGGUGAAAUGCGUAGAUAUCGUAAGGAAGACCAGUGGCGAAGGCGGGUCUCUGGACAGUUCCUGACGCUGAGGCACGAAGGUCAGGGGAGCAAACGGG
Molecule: ribosomal RNA, 253 nt
Filed under: uncultured bacterium
Lineage: Bacteria
Description: partial 16S ribosomal RNA
Rfam family: Bacterial small subunit ribosomal RNA
Source: RNAcentral